RNAcentral lists this transfer RNA (74 nucleotides) under Trichonephila clavata. RNAcentral's name for it is "tRNA-Thr". The stretch from base 9 to 66 matches the Rfam family "tRNA", at positions 8 to 63 of the family's 71-position model. Rfam says of the family: Transfer RNA (tRNA) molecules are approximately 80 nucleotides in length. Their secondary structure includes four short double-helical elements and three loops (D, anti-codon, and T loops). Further hydrogen bonds mediate the characteristic L-shaped molecular structure. tRNAs have two regions of fundamental functional importance: the anti-codon, which is responsible for specific mRNA codon recognition, and the 3' end, to which the tRNAs corresponding amino acid is attached (by aminoacyl-tRNA synthetases). tRNAs cope with the degeneracy of the genetic code in two manners: having more than one tRNA (with a specific anti-codon) for a particular amino acid; and 'wobble' base-pairing, i.e. permitting non-standard base-pairing at the 3rd anti-codon position. The record is from RNAcentral. Lineage: Eukaryota; Metazoa; Arthropoda; Arachnida; Araneae; Nephilidae.
GUCCUAUCUAGUAUGGUGGUUAUUACACUCGGUUUGUAAUCGAGUGGGCUCGGGUUCGAAUCCCGAAUAAGGCA